GGCACUACGGUGCUGAAGCAACAAAUGCCCUGCUUCCAGGAAAAGCCUCUAAGCAUCAGGUAACAUCAAAUCGUACCCCAAACCGACACAGGUGGUCAGGUAGAGAAUACCAAGGCGCUUGAGAGAACUCGGGUGAAGGAACUAGGCAAAAUGGUGCCGUAACUUCGGGAGAAGGCACGCUGAUAUGUAGGUGAAGUCCCUCGCGGAUGGAGCUGAAAUCAGUCGAAGAUACCAGCUGGCUGCAACUGUUUAUUAAAAACACAGCACUGUGCAAACACGAAAGUGGACGUAUACGGUGUGACGCCUGCCCGGUGCCGGAAGGUUAAUUGAUGGGGUUAGCGCAAGCGAAGCUCUUGAUCGAAGCCCCGGUAAACGGCGGCCGUAACUAU
Molecule: ribosomal RNA, 389 nt
Filed under: Escherichia coli
Lineage: Bacteria; Pseudomonadati; Pseudomonadota; Gammaproteobacteria; Enterobacterales; Enterobacteriaceae
Description: partial 23S ribosomal RNA
Rfam family: Bacterial large subunit ribosomal RNA
Source: RNAcentral